Molecule: ribosomal RNA, 207 nt
Filed under: uncultured bacterium
Lineage: Bacteria
Description: partial 16S ribosomal RNA
Rfam family: Bacterial small subunit ribosomal RNA
Source: RNAcentral
UGCGCAGGCGGCCCGAUAAGUCAGGGGCGAAAUAUGACGGCUCAACCGUCAAACUGCCCCUGAAACUGUCAGGCUUGAGUCCGGGAGAGGUAGGUGGAAUUCCAGGUGUAGCGGUGAAAUGCGUAAAUAUCUGGAGGAACACCGGUGGCGAAGGCGGCCUACUGGCCCGGAACUGACGCUCAGGCACGAAAGCAUGGGGAGCGAACG